Molecule: RNA transcript, 2942 nt
Organism: Photinus pyralis (common eastern firefly)
Lineage: Eukaryota; Metazoa; Arthropoda; Insecta; Coleoptera; Lampyridae
Exons: 4
Source: RefSeq, a predicted model, not a curated record
GACGGUAAAAUUACAGGGAAAUUUCAGAAACCCUAUAAAUUACUGAAAUCUUUGAAAUUUAUGAAAUUUAUUAAGUUUCAUAAAUUACAUAAAUUACGGUAACUUACGUGAAAUUUCAUCAAGGUUAACGAGUUUCAUUUUACCCCUCCCAUUGCUUUUAUUGGAAUUAUGUUGCAUUGUGCUUACGGCUUACCGCGUGUCGCCUUGUGUAAUUGUGCUGACUUUAGUUUUGCGUACCUAUGCCUAUGCGUCUCUUGUGUGUUGUGUUGACGAAUCAGUAAAAUAAUAUACCUAAUCUAUUGGAUUCAACGAACAAGCAUUAUGGUUAAACCAAGGUCUUCAGUGUGGAUGUAUUUUGAAGAAUGUAUAGAUAGUAAUAAAAAAACAACAUGUGUUCAAUGCAAAUUUUGCAAAGAAAAAUAUUCAAAAAAUUCCACUAGGAUGAAAAUCCAUAUUGGAAAUUGCAUGAAAGCCCCCACCAGUAUUCGCUCUAAAAUGACAGCUUCAUCGCGUACGUCUAGUCCUAGUACUAGUACUAGUACUACUAGUUGUAGUCGUCAUGAGAGUAAUGUUGAAAAAAAUACAGUACGCACUUUAUCUGCCGUUACACCCGUUAAAAAAUCAAAUUACAUUUCUAACAAACAAAGAUCCAUGGUAGAAAGUUUUGUAGACGUAAUGAAAGUAGAAGAACAUCAACAACUGACAGCCUUAUUUGCAAAGGCAGUGUUUACUAGUAAUACACCACUAUCAAUUACAGAAAACAGAAACUGGAAACUAUUCUUUAAAAGACUGAGACCCUCCUUUACGUUACCUGGGCGAUAUCUGUUAUCACAUCGUCUACUUGACGAAGAAUUUGAGAGAGUACAAAUUCAUGUGGAGGAAACUUUGAACAUUUCAGAAAAUUUGGCCCUUCAGUGUGAUGGGUGGUCAAAUUUAAGAAACGAAAGUGUCAUUAACGUUAUCAUCACAACCCCGCGCCCUUUAUUUGUCAAGUCUGUUUUAAGUGGCACUGCAAGUCAUACUGCUACCUAUUUAGAAGGUAUCAUGUUAGAGAUAAUCGAGAAAUAUGGGUCACAUAAAUUUAGCGCAAUAGUUGCCGACAAUGCCGCUAAUAUGCGUAAAGCAGCACGUAACAUACAAGAGAAAUAUCCCCAUAUUGUGUCAUAUGGUUGUAUGGCACACACUCUUCAUUUGAUGUGCUCAGAUAUAUUGCGAGUAGAAUCUGUUGAGCAGAUCAUUGUGUCUGUUAAGAAUAUUGUUAAGACCAUAAUGUCCAGUCAGAUAUUGCGAGCAAAACUAGAAGAAAUAAAAAAGGACAUGAAACUUACAACUUCGUUAAGUAUGCCUGUCAAAACAAGGUGGGGUUCACAUGUUAAAUCAAUGGAAGAUCUCGUUAAGUGCAAAUUUGCCUUGCAAAGACUUAGUAUAACAGAAGACACACAAAAAGUUGUUCAUACUAUAAAACCCGUUAUCCUAAGUGAGGAUUUUUGGGUCAGUGUGGAGGUGUAAUAAACCUUUUAAAGCCCAUAACACAAAGUAUAACACUUCUGGAAGGUGAUAGUCCUUCUAUUCAUUUAGUGUGCAAAUCCUUCAAUGCAAUAAAUUUAGAAUUUGAUUCUAAUUUACAACUGCUAAAAUUACAAGAAACGGAGAGGAAUAACAUAUUACAAAAAUUUUCAGAAAGGCAGCAGUAUGCAAUGCAACCUGUCCACAUGGCUGCUGAUCUGUUAAAUCCUCACUCUGUUGGCUCAUACUUGUCAAGUGAACAAAAAAUGCGUGCUAUGAAGUUUAUUAAUGGUUUGGCAAAAGACAUGAUGUUGCCAACUGCAAUAGCAGAAUUAGGUCACUACAUGGGCAAACUCCAUUUCUUUGCAGAGAAUUUUUUGUGGGAAGUACUACCUACGGUUGAUGCAAUAACUUGGUGGAAAGGUUAUUGUGGAGAUCUCUCACUUUCAAAAUUAGCUGUACGGAUUCUCACAAUGCCAUGUACAUCAGCUGCCACCGAAAGAAGCUUUAGCACUCAAAGUUUAAUUCACACAAACAGAAGAAAUAGGUUAACAAGCAAAAGAGCUAUAAAACUAAAUUAUAUUCAGCACAACAGUAAAUUGUUUAGUUCUCAAGAACCUACGACGGUUCAGGAUGACAGAAACUUCCAGCAUCAGCAAUCAAAUAUUAAUAACCCUGAAGCACCACCUACUAGCAGUUCCAAAGAAAAGUACUCACGAAAAUCAUUCUCAACCAAUCAAGUUUGUUCAGAGAGUUCUGAUUCUGACUCUAAUAUUUCGUGGACGUCGGAUAUAGAAGGAAAUGGAAACUCUGACGAUGACUUUAGUUACAAUGAUACCCCGUCUGAUGCAGAAGAGGAGCAUAUUGAUGAAACUCCCCAAACCAAAGGACAGAAACGCAAACGCGAUACUACUUGUCUACUUAGUGCAAGUCAUAUUGCUGGUUCCGACAGUAAAGAUGAUUCAUUAGAAGUACUGAACUGCAGUAUACAUAAUGCAGAUGAGUCCGUAUAUGAUCCUGAUCCCCAAGAAUCCCUACUCGAAUCUGAUCUUCAGUCAAUAAGCUGUAAGUCGUUUUACAAAGAAACAAUACCGAUAACACGCAGAAAGUAGCGUAAAGUACAAGUACAAGUGAUUCAACCAUUUUAGUUAAUUAAAGAAGACUGUGAAUUUCUUUUUUAUUAGUUUGAUAAGUAGUUCAUUUGUUUCGUGCUAUAGCAUAAGUUUAUGUCUAUUAUACAAUGUUACUUUGGGUUAGGAGUUUAAGUUUUUAGUUUUUCUUAUGUUGAUUUACAAUAUACCUACUUCUAAACGUAUUACCCAUGAGUCUUUUCCAGCAAAGUAUCAAACAUCCACACUACACAAUAAAAUAUCUUCCAAAACUCGUAUAUUUCAUAAAUUUCAUAAAUUACAGACAAAACUGUAAGUUACGUCAUA